UACGUAGGGUGCGAGCGUUGUCCGGAAUUACUGGGCGUAAAGAGCUCGUAGGUGGUUUGUCGCGUUGUCCGUGAAAACUCACAACUCAAUUGUGGGCGUGCGGGCGAUACGGGCAGACUGGAGUACUGCAGGGGAGACUGGAAUUCCUGGUGUAGCGGUGGAAUGCGCAGAUAUCAGGAGGAACACCGGUGGCGAAGGCGGGUCUCUGGGCAGUAACUGACGCUGAGGCGCGACAGCGUGGGGAGCAAACAGG
RNAcentral lists this ribosomal RNA (253 nucleotides) under uncultured bacterium. RNAcentral describes it as "partial 16S ribosomal RNA". It matches the Rfam family "Bacterial small subunit ribosomal RNA", at positions 524 to 776 of the family's 1533-position model. The record is from RNAcentral.